Long non-coding RNA from Gallus gallus (chicken), 5424 nucleotides. RefSeq lists it as uncharacterized. The transcript has 3 exons. The record is from RefSeq and is a predicted model, not a curated record. NCBI's taxonomy places the organism in Eukaryota, Metazoa, Chordata, Aves, Galliformes, Phasianidae.
UGGGGCUGGGUGGUUUUCAAGGUCCCCUCCAACCCAAACCAUGGUAUGAUUCUUUGAAAUACUCACUCCUGGACACAUUCGCAAAUGUUUGCUGCACAGGACAAGUUGAGAUUCCAACACAUAAAGCAGGACAGAAAUCCUUCAUUUCGAACUGAGUCUCAGGACAGUGGUUUCAUGAGGAUUGUUAUUAGAGAAUGGGAAAUGAAGAAAAUGCAGUGUGGUUCAAAGCAGACUGACUGCCAACUACAUUAAAAAAAAAGACUGCAACAAGUCAGUGACUCAGCUGUCAUUCAGAGGAAAAAUGUGGGAUGUACAGUAGGAAGGGAAAGUGCAACAUGGGUUGCUGUGGCAUGCCCCAUUCUCGUGCCGUGCCAUGCCAGUAUUGCUGAUGGCUGGGCUUGGGGCUUAACCAGCAUGUAAGAAAGAAGCUGCUUCACCACCAUUUCAGAAGGGCAAAGGGAAGUGGAAAGUUUACUUCUUGUAUUGAAAGUACUGCCAGGAAAAAAGAAAAGUUGGGAAAGAAAAAAACAAUACAAAUUACUUCUAGGUAUUUUUAUGCAUAGAUCAGAAAACCUUGCAGAAAGCCACACAAAAGUCAUUAGUGACUGUGACAAUGGGAAGACAGUAGAGUGAAGAAAAAUGUCUUCGCUCUUAAUUAUACUGGAGACCUUUUCCCUUGGGUUCUCUCUUGGUUAGAGUAUUAAUGUUCUGUAGUUAAUUAGCUCUUCCUUCCUUCAGAGCAAUUUCAUUAUUUUAAUUAAUAUAGCAUUGCUAACCUAUUAAUCCUGCCAAUUGGCUGGAGGUAUUGCACAAAUGGUUAAAAACAAGCAGCAAUUAAGAUGGACCCGUUACUUAUUGAAGUUUCUGAAAAUUGAAAUAGCUCGCUCAGCCCAAUAAACACAGAAGCACACUGCAGGCCAUCUAGGAAUGUCCCAGCCUGUCUCAGGUAAAAUUAAGUCCUGAUCCAACAAGCCUUUUCAAGUCGUACGUAGUUCUACAGAUGUGAACUGUCUCACAGGAAUUGAGAGAAUCAAAGCAUUUCCGAAGGCCUGGGUGGUGUGUGGCAGCCCUGGUGAUGCUGACCCCAGCUGCUGAGGUUCAGGUUGGGAGUUUCACAUGGGUGUGGAGUAUGGCAUCAAGGCCAUGUUGGCCUUCAGAUGCCAACCAGAGCUCACAUUUUUGAAGCAAACCUUCAAAGGUCAUCAUAAACUGCUUCUGGGAAGAUGUGGGAGACUAAAUCAGGAGGAGGAGUUUGUUUUGAGACAACCAGUAAUUUAAUGUGCUGUAGAGGGCCAUCAGUAAAAUAGUGGUUGAGUCUAGACAGCACUUGCACUGAACUGUACUCACGGUACAACAUAUUGGCACUUUCUGUAACCUGCUAUUUCUUCAGGAACUCAGGCUUCUUUAAAAGAAAUAUAGAAAGAUAGGGGAAAUGUGUAUAUCAAUAAAAAGGCCCAGAGGUUGGGUGGAGAGCAGGGCCGAACCUGCACAGCGCUUGGGACAUUGACAUAGGGAGAUCAGAGGAGUCGGCUCUGCAGUGAUAGAUGAAAUAUCAACAUUUUAACUGCUGUAUUUGCUUGUGUAAUGGCUGUGUGCAUGGAGCAGGCACACCCUGCAAUCACAGCCCCAGCUGACAGGGAACAAGAGAGCUCUGGCAGUUUUAGAAGGUGUGCACGCAGCAGUGGAGCCCUCCUUUCAAACCAAACUCACAGAAGCACAGACCUACCCGUUACCACGGCCUGCCAUCUCACAGAGAUGUUACCCCUUUUCCUCCCGGGAAGAAGGGACCAAUUCUUCCACAUCUAUCAGAGCUCUCAGAUACAUUCGACGCAUGAGCCAAAAGCAGCUCUAUGCCAAAGCCUUCCUCCUUCCCAGGUGAGGAUAAUCAUCCAGAAAGCUGUAGAAGUUAUUUGGACGGGGCAAUUCCGUGUGGGAUUUCAUUUGAAGAAAAGUAUGAUUCUGAAAGAAUACUGGCAGCAUUAAUUUUUGUGUUAUCGGACAGUAAACUGUAAUGCACUGCAGCCCAGCUUUAACAGAGAAGUUUCACAGGCAUAUUAUAAACAGGAACAUUAGCAGUUUUAUCAUCUUGUUCCAGGUAAUCAUCUUGUUCCAUAUAAUUAUUAGCUUUUGCUUCUUGGAUGAAGUAAUCUUUUAAAAUCUGUUCCUAUUUAAUUAGUCAUAUUCCCUACUGACUGCCACAGGCAUCUCCUGUGCAGGUGUAGUCUUGAAGCUGUGAAUACAUUUUCAGAAGUGAUUCCAAAAAGGAGCUGCUCAGACUGGAACCAGCAGCAGAAAACCUUUUCUGCAUCAGUCUUACCAUUCAGGACAAGAAUAUGAUCUGCUCGCAAGCUGUGUAAUGAGGAAACCAAUUGAGCAGAGAGAUCUGGUCAGGGGUAGGUGAAGGGAUUAACAUUUUAAAGAUACAGCAGAAAAGAGGGUAUGCUGCACUGCACUGUAUCGCAGCCUGACUUUGCUUGCAAUCUCUUAGUGCUCAGUGCUUGAAAAGCUUGACCUUAGCUCCUAUGAGUUACCUGGGGGUUUAGGUGUACUCAGCAUCACCCACAAGUAGAUCUGAAUUAACUGAUCGGAAGGCAGGGCUCCCAGGGAGUAGUGGCCUGAGGGUGGGCUUUGUUUCCCCAUUGACUGAGUUAUGAGUCUGUACAUUUAUUUACUCUGAAGCACUCAAAUCUUGCCUAGUCAGAGCUUUAGAUGAUGUCCGACUUAGAGAAGGUAAAGACCAUCUGCUGGGAAAUACACACCAUUUUAAAAAACGAAAGCUGGGGCUUACCAGUGGUAGAUUCAUCUGUAAUCUUUUUAUCCCCACAAGCAGCUGAUUUUCUUUAGGUGCUGUGAGAGGCUUCACGAUUCUCCGGAAGGGAGAGAUUGGUAGGUCACAUUCUGUUCUGUUUUCGUAACUAGAAUGAAUAGCUUAAGGCUAAGGGAAUCCUCCUCUAUUCCAGAAGGCUUAUUCUCCUGACCCCAGGUUAUAGCACUAGCAAAACUCUUUGAAAUUACUCCACGGUCCAUGAUAACCUUUGUAAAUCCCACAUUAGGAAGAGAGUUAUAGCCACCAGUGUUCCAUUUUUCUUUCUGUGACCCUCAACCAAAGCAUCUCUUUGUUGCAGAAGACUGACUUCUCACUGAAUAUCUCUGCACAGCAUGGUCAGGGAGAAAGCCAUGAAGGGUCUCCUCUCUCUUCUUUCUCCUCCUGUCUGCUGCAUUUGGCUGCAGUAAGGGUAAAAGCCAAACUUCAUGUGAUAGUAUCAUAAUUAUUAUUAGUCUUGGAUGAUAUCCCACAAUGACAUCAAGCUCACUGUAACAUGUAAUAAGUCAAUAAAAGGAUUAAACUGAACUUAAGCUCUUUCCAGCUGUCAAUAUCUAUUGCCCACAUACUUGCAUCGGAAACAGAGAAGACUAUUCUCUCUUAGAGAGUCUGAUUUCAUUUCCACUGAAAGAAUUUCAUGAUGGCAAGUCCAUCAGCUUCAAGAGAGAUGCUCUUGGCUGGAACUAAUCUAAAAAGAACAAAAAUCGGGUUCCUAAUGUUAAUAUAUUCAUCUUCUGCUUGGCUCCUUAUCCGCAUCAUGAAGACAUUGAUUCAAAUGUGAUUUCAGGGUCUAUUUAGAUAGGUAUCUAGUCAAGGACAUUUUCUGUGGGGAAAUUGCUCACAUACCACUCCGUAUAUGUUGCUGGCAUAACUGAAGGAUCAGCAAAACCCAUUUCUGCUUUUUCUAUAUAUUUAUUUCAGUGUAAACCUGAGCACUUACAAAGCACGCCAGGGUUCAACCUCAUGGUGGAUUUGUGUGCUGGGAUGAUAUCCUGUUCUACAGGAGAUUACAAAUUCACGCUGCCAGCCUUUAAGCUUCUCACUUGGUCCGUGGGAGCCCUAGGCUUCUUACAGUCAGUUAAAUCUCGAGGCGCCUAAAUUAAAUAUUUUGAAUAAUCACAGAGAGACUAAAACCUUGACUUUCAAACAUGGCUUCUGAUUUGGGGAAACGACAUUUCCGAUUGCUCUUGGAGCAUCUUGACCUUGACUUGCGUGUAGGAAGGACUGUAGAUCUCAUGGCCCUCAGCUGGAGCUGGAGGCAUUAGAUGUCUGGCCUCAGGCUGAUCAAACUGGGCACAUCAAGCAAUCAAGCACAGUGAAAUCAGAAGCUGCUUCUGAAAACAAACCCUCCAGCGCUCUGUCAGAGGAGGUGUGGGAUAAGUAGAUAUUACUCCCCUCCAUUCUGAACCCAGAUGAUGCGUCUUAAACACAAUACUGCCCUUUGCUUGUAUUGAGAGAAGGUACAUAAAAGUCUGUAGAAGGUAAAGGUGAAGCCAAAGUGUUUCAUUUAUUUUUUUACCCAACAAUGCAAACCUCAGAAGAAUAGUGUAUGGUAGGCAUGCAGAAAUGUACUGGCCAUUUUAAAAGGGGCAAAAAAAUUUACUGAGAGGAGGGAAAUAUUUUUGUCUUCUUUGUACAAAUAAAUUGCUUGUUCAUCACAGCACAGUUAUGAGUAAGCACGUGAGUUUAUUGAUGUGCAGUUAUUGAUUUUUUUCCUGUAUAUUAUCUUGUGGUUGCACUGCCUGCCUCUGAGAAGUGCACAUUAUUAUUGAUCAUUAUGGAGCUGCUAACUACAUAGUAAGUUCUCCAGCAUUGCUCUGAUCUUGUACCUUUUCUAUCCUCUAUUCUUUUUCAGACUUCCUUUUACUUUCCCAGACAUUCUGCCUGCCUGCAUAAUAUUGUUCUCUGACUUUUCUACAGUGAGAUAUACUUCACAAAUACCAUAAGUUCUAAUAUGGGCUCACACGUAUCCAUCGCAUUUAUUUGGUGCACCAGUCACUGCUGGAAACUUGCAUAGCCUUAAAGCAAUUUCUCAUGAUGAAAAAAUAGGCAGCAAGUUAAAUUUUAAAGCUGUCAUCUUCUUUAUGUCCUCAGAAUGCACAGAGAAUGAGAUGGAGAGAACAAAAUGCUGCUUAACUGCAGCAGUCAGUACAGCUGGAUACCUGUGUAGAACUGAGGCCUAACUGAUAAUGCAGUUACUUUAUCAUCAGACAUUGCUACAAAGAAUGGAAGGAUAAAAAUGGAUUAAAUCGCGGCAUUUACUUAAGACAUUCAAUUAUUAAUGGAAAGAAAAAGUUAUAACACUCAUGUUGUAUGAAACACCUCUUUAAAUAAACCAAACAACAACAAAGAAGUCAGCAAGGAAUCCUGAAGUUGCCAGCCUAAACUGCUUGAUAACGUAGAAACAAAAGCACUUUGAAAAGACUUCUACAAAUCCGCAGUCAUUUUCAGCUCCUAUUCUGUGGGCGGCACAGAUAUUUGUCCUGUGUUCUCACCUGCAGAUGGAUCUGCCCAUUCUGAAGAAGGCUAUGCUGCUCAAGUCUGUCAUCGCUUGUUGACGUAACUUUUUAAUUAAAAACUGACAAGACGAUGAAAACUGA